AGUGAACGCUGGCGGUAGGCCUAACACAUGCAAGUCGAACGGCAGCACAGUAAGAGCUUGCUCUUACGGGUGGCGAGUGGCGGACGGGUGAGGAAUACAUCGGAAUCUACUUUUUCGUGGGGGAUAACGUAGGGAAACUUACGCUAAUACCGCAUACGACCUGCGGGUGAAAGCAGGGGAUCUUCGGACCUUGCGCGAUUGAAUGAGCCGAUGUCGGAUUAGCUAGUUGGCGGGGUAAAGGCCCACCAAGGCGACGAUCCGUAGCUGGUCUGAGAGGAUGAUCAGCCACACUGGAACUGAGACACGGUCCAGACUCCUACGGGAGGCAGCAGUGGGGAAUAUUGGACAAUGGGCGCAAGCCUGAUCCAGCCAUACCGCGUGGGUGAAGAAGGCCUUCGGGUUCUAAAGCCCUUUUGUUGGGAAAGAAAAGCAGCAGGUUAAUACCCCGCUGUUCUGACGGUACCCAAAGAAUAAGCACCGGCUAACUUCGUG
RNAcentral lists this ribosomal RNA (492 nucleotides) under uncultured bacterium. RNAcentral's name for it is "partial 16S ribosomal RNA". It matches the Rfam family "Bacterial small subunit ribosomal RNA", at positions 29 to 507 of the family's 1533-position model. The record is from RNAcentral.